This 264-nucleotide ribosomal RNA is filed under the name Triticum aestivum (bread wheat). RNAcentral describes it as "partial small subunit ribosomal RNA". The record is from RNAcentral. Lineage: Eukaryota; Viridiplantae; Streptophyta; Magnoliopsida; Poales; Poaceae.
AUGGCUUCAUUUGGUUCCAUGAUGAGGCUACCGUGUGCUAACCCAGAAGACAUGCGUCACAAGUGGGAGAACGCAUCUUUGGACAAGGUGAAGGAGAAAGAUGUUAAGAUUCGGCCAUGUUGGUGUGGAGAUGUUUGCAAGGUGAAGGAGUCCACCGACCGAAAGAAGUCAUGGAUGGAAGGAAGGAGAUAUUUUGUAUGCCCCAACUAUGCUUAUGAUCAUGCGCUUCCAACUCACACCUAUGACCAACCACCGAUAUGCUAG